Long non-coding RNA from Cornus florida, 3595 nucleotides. RefSeq lists it as uncharacterized. The transcript is spliced from 2 exons. The record is from RefSeq and is a predicted model, not a curated record. Lineage: Eukaryota; Viridiplantae; Streptophyta; Magnoliopsida; Cornales; Cornaceae.
UUUCAGUGCUCAAAGUUCAUUUUGAGAAUUCAUUUAUAUUUUAAACUGCAGAGAAGAUAAGGAGAUAUUGAUUGAUACUAUUUUCUGUGUGUGGAUCAUAUAAAUAAGAAAAUAAUUGAUGUUGGUUUUAUGAUAAAGAAAAAGAAUCAGAAAAAAAAUGGUCAAUAUUUUUCUAUAUAUGUUGAAUAUAUACUACACAAUUUGUAUUUUUUCUUCCAAAAGUUAACAAAUUGUAUAAUUUAAUUAUGUAUUUGUCUAGAUAUUAACUACCCUUGAUUGUGCACAACGGGGCAGAAAUUGGAGAAAUGUUCAUUAUAGAAUUAAAGUAGGAUGAGUUAAAUAGAGGAGUGUUUGCGCCAUAAUUAUACCUUUUGAAUUUAAAGAUUAAUUUUACAAAACUACUGUUAGAGUAUUCGUAUUUUAUGGAACAAUUUAGUCAAAAGUCAAGAAGCACCAUAUAUAUAUUUUUGCCCAAGUAAACUUGCAAUAACCAAAGAAACCGAACUACAGGGCCAAGAGAGAGGGCUUACCCCCACUUAACAAUUGAAAAAGACCAUUUCCAAAACCCAUAAAAUAAAAUAAAAUAAAGAAAAAAUACUAAAACUCAGGACCACUACCAUCCUGAGAAACAACACUAUGAACUAUUGAAAACUUAAAAACACAACACACUAGCUCAUCAUCCUGCAGCUGCAUCAACCGAACAGAAAGAACCCAGAAAAACAGAUUCCAUUGGUGCUUAAUCAUUAAUCCAAUUCGGGAAGUCAUUUAGAUGCACUCCAACAAUCUCACUUACCUCCCAAAACACCAUUCUGGCAAAGCUGAUUGGCACUUGGAGCUGUACCCUGAUGAAGGUUGGAAUUCCUGCUCCUCCAAAUACCCCAUAUAACCAUAGAGAAAAAACACCCUGCACCACCUGUUCUUUUAAGAUUUCUGCUCGAAUCUUUCCUGGAACCAAACAAUUAAGUGAUUCCAUGAAGAUAUAUGCCCCCAAUUCCAAUGCAAGACAUCAAAUAGCCAUUUCCACACACUUGCAGCAUAUGGACAUUCAAAAAACAAGUGUUCAAUCUGAUCCCCAGCCCUAUAACAGUUAUGACAGACAGAAGAGAGACAAAUACCCCUCAAUUGCGGAUUCGAAAGGGAGGUAAUUUUGUUUUGAAGGAUGGCAAGUUGUCGAGCAUGCUGCAGGUCUACUUUGAUUCCAGCAAACUUCAUACCACUGCUUUUUGGGUUGAUGAGCUCUCAAAUUCUUCCAAGCUGACUUGAAUGAAAAUGCACCAUGUUUCCAUAGAACUUGAUCUGCUCCUUGAUGGAAUGUAGCCUGACGCACUCACAUUAGACUUGUGAUUCCAGAUUAGUUCAGCCUUACUAGAUAAGAAUCGCCAAUCAUCUCUUUCCUUGCAUAAGUGUCAUUAACACUUGCAUUCUUGGAAAGAUCAAACCAUCUCACCACCCUAUGCCCAAAUGCUUCCUGAUUCCAAAUGAAUUCAGCCUCACUAGAUAAGAAUCGAGGUUUCAACCAUCUCUUUCCUUGCAUAAUGUCAUUAACACUGGCAUUCUUGGAAAGAUCAAACCAUCUCACCGCUCUAUGCCCAAAAGCUUGAAUUAAAGUUUACCCCUUCCACCAAGGAUCCGAGAACAACUUAAUUGAUUGACCAUCCCCUAUAUUAAAACGAUACUGGGUAUCAAAUGUUCUCUAGUAUCUAGAAGAUUCCUCCAGAACGUAGAGAAUUUACUGCUAUAUGUACAACUCCAUAUUGAUGGAAUAGCAGCCCUCAAAGAUUGGAACCAAGCGAUCCACAACCUGUCUUUAUCCUGAAUAAAUUCCCACAAUAGAGCAAUCUCACUUAACUUCAAUUGAGGUGGUUCUUAUUGAGGAUAAUGCUAAGGGAAAGCGAAAAGGAAAACUAAAUGAUAUUCUGUGAUUUAAUUGAGACUGUAUAACCUUUGAGCAGAAUGAUGACACGUGAUUCGUCUAGCCAACCCAAAUGGUUGAGAAAAUGCUUUAUCAAGUUGAGUUUAUUCAUCUGGAAACUUGCUUAUAAUUUAUUACAUGUAUGACAAGUUUUAAUGAUCUUCAUAUAACAAGGAAGAAAAUUUAUCAAUAUAUGAAAGCAGGAUGAUGGUGGCUAUAGGCAGAGCAUUGGCGGAAUUGAGAAACACAUUUGACAAAAUUGAUUCCAGAAUAGUUUGUAUAUGGCUUUAUCAUGUUGAAUUGAGUUUAUGUUGGAUGAAGGUCUUUUACUUAUCAAAAAAAAAAAAAAAAAUGGAUGAAGGUCUUUAAUUUUCUUCAAAUUAAUGAAUACUGUUUGAAGUCAUUGUCCAAUGGUAGCUGGUAGUUAUAGGCUUGUUACAUUGACUCACCUGUUUCCGUUCACGUACCCGUGUCGACACCACACGACAAGUGUAUGGGUAUAGAGUAUGUGUUCGGCGAGAAAUUAUACGUUGCGACGGUUGUAACCACCAAAGCAAAGCAAGUGAAUUAACUUUUUAGUUGUAUUGUAGGUCCACCUUGCUUUGGUGGAUUUUUUGUAACCGUGGGUUAUUCCACGUCAGCGUUACAACCGUUGCAACAUAUAAUUUCUCGUGUUCACAUGAUAUGAUUGAACAACAACUUAGAUUUAAUAGCAGAGAUGAAUUUCCUAUCUUUGAGAUAGAUAGAAACACUUUUCUUUUACCACACAUCAUUUAAUUUGAUUUAUAAUUGAGUAUAUUCUUAUAAAUCAACAACAUUAACAUAACACUCUAAUAAAUCAUAUUAUGUACGUAUUUAAAUGCAUAGUAUGUGUCUACGUAUCUGUAUCCAUAUCCAACUUUUAGACUCAUAUUCCUGUAUCCUAAAUUUGAGAGGUCCGAUACUUGGACACAGCUGCACCCGAGAUGCUUACCUAAGUCUGGGUAACACAGGUUAUAGUUAUGGUUGCUCCUUGAACUUGGUCAACUUUCAUUUUUGAUGUUGAAGCCAAUGAUUUCCGUGUUAAAAGAUCUGGCACCUCUACGCUGUUAAUUAUUUCCUACAAUUUAGCAAUUUAUAUUACUGCUGUCCUGUUUGGACCUUCAGAAUGAAUCUUUGUGAAAUAAUUAAGUAAAUACAAAACACAAGAAAGUAAUUCUACUGAUGUGAUGGUAAGUGAAGAGGAGAUGGCCAAUUUAAAUAAGGUUCAAUAUCUAUGGGUCCCUGAUGCAAGAAAAAAAGUAAAAGAUCAGAGUAUAAGAGGAGAAGAAAAGAAAGAAGGAGAAGGAUGGAGGAAAAGAGAAGAAGAGAAAUCUUCCACAAAGAGAGAGAGAACGCCCGCGGGGGGGAGAAGAGAGAGAAGGAAAAAAAAUGAUGGUGGAAAAGCGAAGAAGAUUACAUAAAACAGUGAGAUUAUAAUAUUUUUAUUUUAGAUACAGAUCUGUAGUUGUUUAAGAAUUUUCCAACAUUUUAUUUCUUCAUUACACAAGGACCCUGUAUGGACAAAACCAAACUAAAAUAAAUACCUAAUAAUUAAAUAUCCCUAAAAAUAAGAAUAUGUGAAAGUAAAAGUAACUUUUAAAUUUAAUCCUCAGGAUUGUUGCACCUAUGCAUGCACCAUUUUGGGGCCGCGGGCGCGGGGGG